This 531-nucleotide non-coding RNA is filed under the name Pongo abelii (Sumatran orangutan). The record is from RNAcentral. Lineage: Eukaryota; Metazoa; Chordata; Mammalia; Primates; Hominidae.
GUGGCAGCAUCUCGGUCACUUACCACAAGGAAACAAUGAGUUUCAAACUACUUCUAUACAUCAAAAGAGUACAUGGAUAAAAUAUAGAGAUAUACAGACAAUUGAUGAACAUAAACUACUAGAAUAACUCAAUCUCAGUGUGACUACUGAUCCGCCGCCACGUGGCUUCCCGGACACACUGCUGCAGCGCCAACAGUGAAGAGGAGCUCUCCAUCACAACCAGACAGCAGAAGCACAGCACAGUGAAGCCCACCUGCCCACAUGAUGCACAAUAAAGGUAUUAAUUUACAACAGAUGGAUUUUAUGCCUUGUACAGGUAUGAACACAGUGAAGAUUUGACGAUGGUUCUCUCUUUUAGCUGAACGCUGGAGUUUUAAUUACUGACAUUUUCUUGGAAAAAAUUAUCCUUUGUGGUUUUAAAACGUGGGUUUUUUUUUUUUUUUUUUUUUUUGCUCAAGUCACAUGUUCUAACAAGACAGUUUUAAUAAGCCAGUUUGACUAGAUGUAAAGUACUUGGAUUAAAGUGAUAAU